Molecule: ribosomal RNA, 433 nt
Filed under: uncultured bacterium
Lineage: Bacteria
Description: partial 16S ribosomal RNA
Rfam family: Bacterial small subunit ribosomal RNA
Source: RNAcentral
AACGAACGCUGGCGGCAGGCCUAACACAUGCAAGUCGAGCGAGGACUUCGGUUCUAGCGGCGGACGGGUGAGUAACGCGUGGGAAUGUGCCCUUCUCUACGGAAUAGCCCUGGGAAACUGGGAGUAAUACCGUAUACGCCCUAUUGGGGAAAGAUUUAUCGGAGAAGGAUCAGCCCGCGUUGGAUUAGGUAGUUGGUGGGGUAAUGGCCUACCAAGCCGACGAUCCAUAGCUGGUUUGAGAGGAUGAUCAGCCACACUGGGACUGAGACACGGCCCAGACUCCUACGGGAGGCAGCAGUGGGGAAUCUUAGACAAUGGGGGUAACCCUGAUCUAGCCAUGCCGCGUGAGUGAUGAAGGCCUUAGGGUUGUAAAGCUCUUUCAGCUGGGAAGAUAAUGACGGUACCAGCAGAAGAAGCCCCGGCUAACUCCGUG